CGCCAUUAUGGCUUGGUAGCUCAGUUGGUAGAGCACUUCCAUGGUAAGGAAGGGGUCGUCGGUUCAAAUCCGACAAGUGGCUU
RNAcentral lists this transfer RNA (83 nucleotides) under Escherichia coli. Its description in RNAcentral is "tRNA-Thr". The stretch from base 17 to 74 matches the Rfam family "tRNA", at positions 8 to 63 of the family's 71-position model. From Rfam's summary of the family: Transfer RNA (tRNA) molecules are approximately 80 nucleotides in length. Their secondary structure includes four short double-helical elements and three loops (D, anti-codon, and T loops). The record is from RNAcentral. Lineage: Bacteria; Pseudomonadati; Pseudomonadota; Gammaproteobacteria; Enterobacterales; Enterobacteriaceae.